GUCCAUGCCCUAAACGAUGAGGACUAGGUUUCGGGUCGCAAGACUCGGAGCCGCAGCUAACGCAUUAAGUCCUCCACCUGGGGAAUACGAUCGCAAGAUUGAAACUCAAAGGAAUUGACGGGGGCCCGCACAAGCAGUGGAGCAUGUGGUUUAAUUCGACGCAACGCGAAGAACCUUACCUGGGCUCGAAAUGCUAGUGACAUUCCAUGAAAGUGGACUUCCCGCAAGGGACGCUAGUAUAGGUGCUGCAUGGCUGUCGU
Molecule: ribosomal RNA, 260 nt
Filed under: uncultured bacterium
Lineage: Bacteria
Description: partial 16S ribosomal RNA
Rfam family: Bacterial small subunit ribosomal RNA
Source: RNAcentral